RNAcentral lists this ribosomal RNA (25 nucleotides) under Aricia artaxerxes (northern brown argus). Its description in RNAcentral is "partial 5.8S ribosomal RNA". Lineage: Eukaryota; Metazoa; Arthropoda; Insecta; Lepidoptera; Lycaenidae. RNAcentral also lists the same sequence under 36 other names. The record is from RNAcentral.
CAGGACCACUCCUGUCUGAGGGCCG